Molecule: ribosomal RNA, 829 nt
Filed under: uncultured bacterium
Lineage: Bacteria
Description: bacterial SSU rRNA
Rfam family: Bacterial small subunit ribosomal RNA
Source: RNAcentral
AGUGAAAUGCGUAGAUAUCGAGAGGAACACCAGUUGCGAAGGCGGAUCUCUGGACGGUUUCUGACGCUGAGGCACGAAAGCUGGGGUAGCGAAGAGGAUUAGAUACCCUCGUAGUCCCAGCCGUAAACGGUGCACACUUGCUGUGGGCGGAUUCGACCCCGUCCGUGGCGAAGCUAACGCGAUAAGUGUGCCGCCUGGGGAGUACGGUCGCAAGAUUAAAACUCAAAGAAAUUGACGGGGGCCUGCACAAGCGGUGGAGUAUGUGGCUUAAUUCGAUGCAACGCGAAGAACCUUACCUGGCCUUGACAUGUAGUGGCCCGGGUGCGAAAUCACCCUUUUCUUCGGAACUGCUACACAGGUGCUGCAUGGCUGUCGUCAGCUCGUGUCGUGAGAUGUUGGGUUAAGUCCCGCAACGAGCGCAACCCCCGUGUUCUGUUGCCACCCGGAGUUAAAUCCGGAGCACUCUGGACAGACUGCCUGGUUUCAACUAGGAGGAAGGUGGGGAUGACGUCAAGUCAGUAUGGCCCUUACGGCCAGGGCUGCACACGUACUACAAUGCCUGAUAUAAUGGGAAGCAAGACCGCGAGGUGGAGCAAAUCCUCAAAAUCAGGCCCAGUUCAGAUUGUAGGCUGCAACUCGCCUACAUGAAGGAGGAAUCGCUAGUAAUGCCGUAUCAGCUACGACGGCGUGAAUACGUUCCCAGGCCUUGUACACACCGCCCGUCACAUCAUGAAAGUCGAUUGUACCCGAAGUCACUGAGUUAACUUGCAAAAGAAACAGGUGCCGAAGGUAUGGUUGGUAAUUGGGAUGAAGUCGUAACAAGGUAACC